This 254-nucleotide ribosomal RNA is filed under the name uncultured bacterium. RNAcentral's name for it is "partial 16S ribosomal RNA". It matches the Rfam family "Bacterial small subunit ribosomal RNA", at positions 524 to 776 of the family's 1533-position model. The record is from RNAcentral.
UACGUAGGUGACAAGCGUUGUCCGGAUUUACUGGGCGUAAAGAGCGCGCAGGCGGUCGAUCAAGUCGAGUGUGAAAGCCCCCGGCUCCAACUGGGGAGGGUCAUUCGAUACUGAUCGACUCGAAGGCAGGAGAGGGUAGUGGAAUUCCCGGUGUAGUGGUGAAAUGCGUAGAUAUCGGGAGGAACACCGGUGGCGAAGGCGGGUCUCUGGGCAGUAACUGACGCUGAGGAGCGAAAGCGUGGGGAGCGAACAGG